Molecule: small RNA, 79 nt
Filed under: [Enterobacter] lignolyticus SCF1
Lineage: Bacteria; Pseudomonadati; Pseudomonadota; Gammaproteobacteria; Enterobacterales; Enterobacteriaceae
Description: Enterobacter cloacae SCF1 sroE RNA
Rfam family: sroE RNA
About the family: This family consists of a number of bacterial sroE RNA genes of around 90 bases in length. sroE is found in several Enterobacterial species but its function is unknown.
Source: Rfam by way of RNAcentral
AUAACGUGUUGGGAAGCGAUACGCUUCCCGUGUAUGAUUGAACCCGCGGCGCUACCUAAGCGUCUGGGUUCAUUUUUGU